UCGCNUCUGCUGUGAAAGGCUGGGGCUUAACCCUGGUUUUGCAGUGGGUACGGGCUAACUAGAGUGCAGUAGGGGAGACUGGAAUUCNUGGUGUAGCGGUGGAAUGCGCAGAUAUCAGGAGGAACACCGAUGGCGAAGGCAGGUNUCUGGGCUGUAACUGACGCUGAGAAGCGAAAGCAUGGGGAGCGAGCAGGAUUAGAUACCCUGGUAGUCCAUGCCGUAAACGUUGGGCACUAGGUGUGGGGGACAUUCCACGUUUUCCGCGCCGUAGCUAACGCAUUAAGUGCCCCGCCUGGGGAGUACGGCCGCAAGGCUAAAACUCAAAGAAAUUGACGGGGGCCCGCACAAGCGGCGGAGCAUGCGGAUUAAUUCGAUGCAACGCGAAGAACCUUACCAAGGCUUGACAUAUACUGGACUGCGUCAGAGAUGGCGUUUCCCUUCGGGGCUGGUAUACAGGUGGUGCAUGGUUGUCGUCAGCUCGUGUCGUGAGAUGUUGGGUUAAGUCCCGCAACGAGCGCAACCCUCGUUCUAUGUUGCCAGCACGUGAUGGUGGGGACUCAUAGGAGACUGCCAGGGUUAACUCGGAGGAAGGUGGGGAUGACGUCAAAUCAUCAUGCCCCUCAUGUCUUGGGCUUCACGCAUGCUACAAUGGCCGGUACCGAGGGUUGCGAUACUGUGAGGUGGAGCUAAUCCCUAAAAGCCGGUCUCAGUUCGGAUUGGGGUCUGCAACUCGACCCCAUGAAGUCGGAGUCGCUAGUAAUCGCAGAUCAGCAACGCUGCGGUGAAUACGUUCCCGGGCCUUGUACAC
This 808-nucleotide ribosomal RNA is filed under the name uncultured bacterium. RNAcentral's name for it is "bacterial SSU rRNA". It matches the Rfam family "Bacterial small subunit ribosomal RNA", at positions 583 to 1388 of the family's 1533-position model. The record is from RNAcentral.